RNAcentral lists this ribosomal RNA (439 nucleotides) under uncultured bacterium. Its description in RNAcentral is "partial 16S ribosomal RNA". It matches the Rfam family "Bacterial small subunit ribosomal RNA", at positions 339 to 795 of the family's 1533-position model. The record is from RNAcentral.
CUACGGGCGGCUCCAGUGAGGAAUAUUGCACAAUGGGGGGAACCCUGAUGCAGCAACGCCGCGUGGAGGAUGACGCAUUUCGGUGUGUAAACUCCUUCUAUAUGUCAAGAAAAUGACGGUAGCAUAUGAAUAAGCACCGGCUAACUCCGUGCCAGCAGCCGCGGUAGUACGGAGGGUGCAAGCGUUACUCGGAAUCACUGGGCGUAAAGGACGCGUAGGCGGGUUGGAAAGUCAGGUGUGAAAUCCUACAGCUUAACUGUAGAACUGCACUUGAAACUUCUAAUCUAGAGUAUGGGAGGGGGAGAUGGAAUUAGUGGUGUAGGGGUAAAAUCCGUAGAUAUCACUAGGAAUACCUAAAGCGAAGGCGAUCUCCUGGAACAUUACUGACGCUAAGGCGUGAAAGCGUGGGGAGCAAACAGGAUUAGAUACCCUUGUAGUC